Molecule: ribosomal RNA, 369 nt
Filed under: Triticum aestivum (bread wheat)
Lineage: Eukaryota; Viridiplantae; Streptophyta; Magnoliopsida; Poales; Poaceae
Description: partial small subunit ribosomal RNA
Source: RNAcentral
AUGCCAACCAUUGAUGAGGCAUCUCAGUACUUCUUGAAGAGCAAGCAGGAUCAGCUUGGCUACUUGAUUGCCUCCACUCUGAGGAUUGAGAAGGGAUUGGCCACCCUGACUCAAAACCAGGAGAGCCUGGAGAGGAUCAUGGAGCAGAAGUUCUAUGACUUGGAUGUGAAGGUCAUUAAGAUACAGUCAGUUGUUGAGCAACUUCAGGAUGACAUGCAGGAGAGGAAGGGCAAGACUACUACUGAUGCUUUCGCUAGAGUGCCCAGGAGUCAGAGAUCAGCUGCAGUGCCAGUUCCAGACACCAAAGCAACUUCAUCUGCACCAGCUACAGCUUCUGUGCAACCAGCUCCAGCACCUACUCCACCAGCU